RNAcentral lists this ribosomal RNA (1346 nucleotides) under uncultured bacterium. Its description in RNAcentral is "bacterial SSU rRNA". It matches the Rfam family "Bacterial small subunit ribosomal RNA", at positions 28 to 1381 of the family's 1533-position model. The record is from RNAcentral.
GACGAACGCUGGCGGCGUGCUUAACACAUGCAAGUCGAACGGAAAGGCCCUGCUUUUGUGGGGUGCUCGAGUGGCGAACGGGUGAGUAACACGUGAGUAACCUGCCCUUGACUUUGGGAUAACUUCAGGAAACUGGGGCUAAUACCGGAUAGGAGCUCCUGCUGCAUGGUGGGGGUUGGAAAGUUUCGGCGGUUGGGGAUGGACUCGCGGCUUAUCAGCUUGUUGGUGGGGUAGUGGCUUACCAAGGCUUUGACGGGUAGCCGGCCUGAGAGGGUGACCGGCCACAUUGGGACUGAGAUACGGCCCAGACUCCUACGGGAGGCAGCAGUGGGGAAUAUUGCACAAUGGGCGGAAGCCUGAUGCAGCAACGCCGCAUGCGGGAUGACGGCCUUCGGGUUGUAAACCGCUUUCGCCUGUGACGAAGCGUGAGUGACGGUAAUGGGUAAAGAAGCACCGGCUAACUACGUGCCAGCAGCCGCGGUGAUACGUAGGGUGCGAGCGUUGUCCGGAUUUAUUGGGCGUAAAGGGCUCGUAGGUGGUUGAUCGCGUCGGAAGUGUAAUCUUGGGGCUUAACCCUGAGCGUGCUUUCGAUACGGGUUGACUUGAGGAAGGUAGGGGAGAAUGGAAUUCCUGGUGGAGCGGUGGAAUGCGCAGAUAUCAGGAGGAACACCAGUGGCGAAGGCGGUUCUCUGGGCCUUUCCUGACGCUGAGGAGCGAAAGCGUGGGGAGCGAACAGGCUUAGAUACCCUGGUAGUCCACGCUGUAAACGGUGGGUACUAGGUGUGGGGUCCAUUCCACGGGUUCCGUGCCGUAGCUAACGCUUUAAGUACCCCGCCUGGGGAGUACGGCCGCAAGGCUAAAACUCAAAGGAAUUGACGGGGCCCCGCACAAGCGGCGGAGCAUGCGGAUUAAUUCGAUGCAACGCGUAGAACCUUACCUGGGUUUGACAUGGAUCGGGAGCGCUCAGAGAUGGGUGUGCCUCUUUUGGGGUCGGUUCACAGGUGGUGCAUGGCUGUCGUCAGCUCGUGUCGUGAGAUGUUGGGUUAAGUCCCGCAACGAGCGCAACCCUUGUUCACUGUUGCCAGCACGUUAUGGUGGGGACUCAGUGGAGACCGCCGGGGUCAACUCGGAGGAAGGUGGGGAUGACGUCAAGUCAUCAUGCCCCUUAUGUCCAGGGCUUCACGCAUGCUACAAUGGCUGGUACAGAGAGUGGCGAGCCUGUGAGGGUGAGCGAAUCUCGGAAAGCCGGUCUCAGUUCGGAUUGGGGUCUGCAACUCGACCUCAUGAAGUCGGAGUCGCUAGUAAUCGCAGAUCAGCAACGCUGCGGUGAAUACGUUCCCGGGGCU